UGCUGUGUUUGCCUCUGUAUCUUUCUAGGCUUCAGCUUUGGCUUUUCUUUUCCGGCAGUGUUUGAGCAGAAGGGCAGUUUGGACUUAUUCGUUCUCUGAGGCGACAACAACAGGUCUCUCUCUCCAUCUGACUGGGCAGGUCUCAGUGACCGAGGAUUGUGAUCAGAAAUGGAGGUGAAAAAUCACUGCGAGGAAAAUCAGCUGAAGAAUGGAGUGCAGAACGGGGUUCCGAAGGAAACACCUCCAGCGAAACCUGCAAAUCACACCAAAUGGAACCAGAUCUGUAAGAGUGCUCAGUGUUUAUUUCAACAGGUCAAACAUGUUUAUAGUGCAAUUUAAUCAGUGCUGCU
Molecule: long non-coding RNA, 350 nt
Organism: Pygocentrus nattereri (red-bellied piranha)
Lineage: Eukaryota; Metazoa; Chordata; Actinopteri; Characiformes; Serrasalmidae
Source: Ensembl